CCUACGGGAGGCUGCAGUGGGGAAUAUUGCACAAUGGGGGAAACCCUGAUGCAGCGACGCCGCGUGAGUGAAGAAGUAUUUCGGUACGUAAAGCUCUAUCAGCAGGGAAGAAAAAAAGUCCUUUGGACUUUGGACGGUACCUGACCAAGAAGCCCCGGCUAACUACGUGCCAGCAGCCGCGGUAAUACGUAGGGGGCAAGCGUUAUACGGAUUUACUGGGUGUAAAGGGAGCGUAGACGGCAGCGCAAGUCUUGAGUGAAAUGCCGGGGGCCAACCCCGGGACUGCCUUGGAAACUGUGCAAGCUGAGGUGAGGAGGGGUUAGGCGAAAUGCCAGUG
Molecule: ribosomal RNA, 337 nt
Filed under: uncultured bacterium
Lineage: Bacteria
Description: partial 16S ribosomal RNA
Rfam family: Bacterial small subunit ribosomal RNA
Source: RNAcentral